RNAcentral lists this long non-coding RNA (224 nucleotides) under Elaeis guineensis (African oil palm). RNAcentral's name for it is "long non-coding RNA (EGUI_LNC077812)". The record is from RNAcentral. Lineage: Eukaryota; Viridiplantae; Streptophyta; Magnoliopsida; Arecales; Arecaceae.
UGAUAUGAAAAAGUAUGUUUUAUUAUGAGCAUUGAUUGCAUGAAUGUAUUUUAUAAAAAGUUGCAUGAUUAUGAAGCAUGAAUUUUAUUAUUUUUCAUCUAUGUAUAUGUAUGUUUUAAGAAAGAGAUAUAAUAAUUUCAAAAAGACUCUCAGAUGGCUAUGAAUGAAUCCCAUCGGGAAGGUCAACAUCCGGAGCUAGCAUCUACACGAAACAUGGUCCUGGC